UACGUAGGCAGCGAGCGUUGUUCGGAAUUACUGGGCGUAAAGAGUGUGUAGGCGGUGCUCCCAGUCUGUUGUGAAAUCUCCCGGCUUAACUGGGAGGGUGCAGCGGAAACUAGAGUGCUAGAGGGUGGGAGAGGUAAGCGGAAUUCCUGGUGUAGCGGUGGAAUGCGCAGAUAUCAGGAAGAACACCCGUGGCGAAGGCGGCUCUCUGGAACGCAACUGACGCUGAGACGCGAAAGCGUGGGGAGCAAACAGG
This 253-nucleotide ribosomal RNA is filed under the name uncultured bacterium. Its description in RNAcentral is "partial 16S ribosomal RNA". It matches the Rfam family "Bacterial small subunit ribosomal RNA", at positions 524 to 776 of the family's 1533-position model. The record is from RNAcentral.